Mustela erminea (ermine) is the source of this 1092-nucleotide long non-coding RNA. RefSeq lists it as uncharacterized. Lineage: Eukaryota; Metazoa; Chordata; Mammalia; Carnivora; Mustelidae. The record is from RefSeq and is a predicted model, not a curated record. The transcript has 6 exons.
ACCUUCCUUCCUCUAACUCGCUUCAAUCAGGACCAGAAACACAGAAACCCUUCAUUACUUCUAUCUCACACCAUGCCCCAAGCUUGUGUCUCCACGGAGCUAAUUUCUGAAACAAACAAAGAAAAUCAAGUCUGCGAGGAGCGGGGGUUUUCUCCUCUCUUCCUUGGAUUUGGGCAUCCAGCCCGGCGGGCGCCGCACCGCAAGCCAGUCCCGGCACCCAGCGGCACCCUAACCUUCCGCGCCCCGCUAGCCCAGGUUCCCGCUGCGCCAGAAAGUGCGAGCCCGCCCUGCUCCUUUCGCUUCUUGCCCGCUGCUGCUCCCCAAGUCUCCAGAACCCUCGCGUUCGCACACUAAGGACGCCAGCGCUCUCCCACCUCUGCGCUGUCAGAUGUCAGGCGCGGAGGUGCUGUGGGCGCCCCGGGUGCUGGCAAACCGAACCAGUGUCCCAGGGGCGCCUGCCCUCACUCCGAGAGAGGGGGCAGGCGGCCACAGGUUGGAACACAAAGCUGAAUCUCCAAAUAACAAAGGGUUCUUAUCUUCAGAGACAUGUAGAGGAAAUUACAUGAUGUCUGGCAUUUUCUUCAAAAUCAUCCACAGAGAAGUACAGGAGAAUCAAGAGGGGCAACAUGAGGAAAUCAGGGAAGCUUUAUGCAACACUAGUCUAAAUUCUGCAAUGUACCCCUCAAGCCUGCCUCUCACCACUAACGUCUGGCACCGACUCUGCACACAAAGCCUGGGUAGCUGUAGUGUAAACUGAAGAUAUGGGUGAUUAGGAUGUUAAGUGGGAGCAAAGAAAGCUCUUCGUUAUUCUUUUGGAAAUAAAAAGGGAUAAAACUCAGCGAUCAUUAAGCCUUUCACUUUCCUACAAUUUGUCAGCACAGUUGGGGGCUGGCUUCCUUUCCACAGAUCUGCAAGGAAGGUGAUGGGCUGCAUGGGGAUUUACAAACUGAGGAAAACAGAGACGAGUCCAGUGGGGGAAGGGAAGAUAGAAAAGAUCUUGAAGUCAGAAAAACUCAAGGUCCACAUUUAUCUUGGUGGCAGCAGCUACAAAUGUGAAAUCAAAGCUCUGAUGCUAGACAACUGGAAUUGUAG